RNAcentral lists this ribosomal RNA (292 nucleotides) under uncultured Bacteroidota bacterium. RNAcentral describes it as "uncultured Bacteroidetes bacterium partial 16S ribosomal RNA". The record is from RNAcentral. Lineage: Bacteria; Pseudomonadati; Bacteroidota.
GGACUACACGGGUUUCUAAUCCUGUUUGAUCCCCACGCUUUCGUGCCUCAGUGUCAAUAGUAGUGUAGCGAGCUGCCUUCGCAAUCGAUGUUCUAUGUCAUAUCUAAGCAUUUCACCGCUACAUGACAUAUUCCGCUCACCUCCACUAUAUUCAAGAUAAAUAGUAUCAACGGCAGUUUCUAAGUUAAGCUUAGAGAUUUCACCACUGACUUACCUACCCACCUACGCACCCUUUAAACCCAGUGAAUCCGGAUAACGCUUGCACCCUCCGUAUUACCGCGGCUGCUGGCAC